RNAcentral lists this long non-coding RNA (5459 nucleotides) under Pelobates cultripes (western spadefoot toad). The record is from RNAcentral. Lineage: Eukaryota; Metazoa; Chordata; Amphibia; Anura; Pelobatidae.
CUGACAUUGACACUUCCACAUAUGGAGCACACUCUGUCGAGGCGCUAUGGCAUCUAAAGCCUUCACCUUAGGCUGCAGGCUAGAAGACCUCCUCCAUGCUGCUGAUUGGUCCCUGGAAUCUACUUUUCGGGAAUCCUAUUUUCGUCCAGUUAAAUUUUUUCCACUACGGUUGGUUGCACAGCUUUGAACAAGCAUAAUAUGAGCCUACGUGUCCUUUAAUAAAAUUACCAGAUUUGACUAAUUUCAUGGCGUAAAGUCAUGAUUUUAUUAAGGAUACAGAGUAUUAUCUCACCAGAUACAGGUAUGUUACACCCUCCCUGGGUUAUAUGUAUUAUUUUUACAAGAAGUAUGCAGUCUUUUUCGGGUAUUGUUAUUGUUCACCUAAUUGACUAAUUUCUGUUGACGUUAAUGUUGACGAAUCAGAUAUACUAUUGAUACUUGAUACUUUGUGGAUAAGAUUGAAUAUCCAAGAGCAUAUUUUACCACUUAUUUCUCUGUCUUUACAGCCUCCUAUUUGGUUCAAUAUACGUUCAAUAAGAGGAUUGCAAGUUAUCCGCUAAGUUAUCGCAUCUAGUUGGUCGUACAUUGCAGUCUUGUGGAGAUAUUCAUAGGCAUCAUUAAGAAAGAUGAUUGGCUGAAGGUCACAUGGGACAUUAUAGUACAAGGAGCAUUCCUAUUGGAUAAGAUGUUAUAGUGUGGUUAACCCUCUAAGGUACAUGUUAACUUUUUUCCUUUGUAUAUUUACAGUAUCCUUUCUUUGCUGCUGAGGAAUAAAGAAAGAGAUAAAGCAUAAUAUGAGCCUCCGUGUCCUUAAUAAAAUCAUGACUUUACAUCAUGAAAUUAGUAAAAUCUGGUCAUUUCUAAUCACGUUUGACACUUGCAUACUUCUUACACAACUGACUGACACGCAAGGUCACUUGUAAAGUAUUCUUUAUUUAGAGUGCACAUUUUAUUUCCGUUAAUAAACAAAGAUUUUUUUAACACAAGGCAGGACUCUUGUACACAAACUUCACAAAUUUGGUUACCCUAUGCUCAAAGUUAUAUUGCCAGCUUGCUUGGUAUCUUCUAAUGGAGAACAACUUCUUAAAUUGAGUAUUUUAACAAUUUAAAAAGAACCCAGCAAAGGCAAGACUUACUUGAUUGUUUUUAUGAAAAAUAUAGAUCCUUAUCUAGAUAUGUUCCCUUCUCUACAGUCUUGAUGAGUGCAACACCCUCUUGCGUGGUUUUCCAAUCUCACUCCUGUCCACCUACAAUUGAUAGAGAAGGUUGAUACCAUAUUAUCUUAAAUUUUGCAAACACUUGUAAGCAAUUAUAGUCAUACUCUACAUCUUGUAUCAUUUAAUGUAAAGUUAAUUCCUGUUUAUAAAGUGCUAUAAUACUAUAUAUGUUUAUCGUUAUAGCCCUGUAUUCACUGUUUGACUUAACAAGCACUGAGCUCUUUCGUAAAGUCAUAUGUUGUAUUUGAUAGCUCCACCUCUUCUGACAGUACAUUCCAUAUCUUCAUUAUUUUUACCAUAUAAACCUUUCCACUUGGAGUUUUCAUGUCCUUUAAUCAAGCCUUACAAGAUGGCCUUGUGGCCUUUAUAAUUAUAGUUGUUUGUAAAGUGCUGACAAAGUCUGCAUUGCGGAUUGUUAAAUGAUGUAACAAAGGUUUAUUCUAACGCGCAGAAAUAAAUUGCUCUUGUAGGUUUUGAGAGCCCUGCCAAAAGGCUUACAAUCUAAAAAAUGUACAGUUCUGUUAACAGGUCAGGAGCUGUUUGCAUUGAUCAAGAAUGUUAUCAUGUCCUACUCAAGACUUUCUUUUUAGUUUAGAAAAAUUUAACUUUUUCAUAAUAAGUCAUUAAUUCCCCUUAAUAAUUUUGUACUACAUAUUUUACAAUCCAUGUAUUUUUUUUAAUGGUGUCAAACACUGCACUACAUACCAAAGGUGUGAUUUUCUAAAUAUAUAAAAAGCAAAAUAAUAUUUUCUUCUUGAAAGUCAAUACAGUUUUUUAAAAAUUAGUGUUUUACUAGCCUUCAAUCUCUGACUGAUACUGUUUAUUGUUAACACGUUUGUUGUAAAUAAUUUAUAAUUAUCAUCAAAAAAUAUCCUUAAAGCAACAUUAUGUAAUGUAACUUGUAAUCUGUCACUUGCCUGCCCAGUCUCUUUUUAUUCUAAAUCCCUCUGUAGAGAAUUAAAAUCCAAUUUAGAGUGCAUCAUGUUACCAAGGUAGGUUAUUGGCAUGCAUUAUAUUCAAUGCAAAAUCAUUGCAGAAAUCAAAAGUCACCUACCACUUUUGUCUAAUUUACAUGAGCACUAAGCACCAUAAUCAUUGCAGUACGCUGUUGCAGUUAUGGUGAGAGCAUGCCCCUGGUGUUUUCACCCAGUUAUGUGUCAAAUCAUUUUUGAACAGUUAGACCCAGGCACCUGAGGCUCAGUUCCUCACUGUCCAUAUCACUACACUUCUGAAUAAGCAAAUACAUUUUUUUCAGGUUUAGAUGGCAUUCAUCAGCUUAGUCUUUUAACUGACACAAAACUGAUAUUACUAAUGUGGUAAUGUAACUGCCAAGAUAGAGACAUGGAUGGCGAGAGGCCAUGUCACAGGCACCCUUGGUUUGUAUCACACCAUUCGAAAACCAUUUGACAUAUAACCAAGGAUCUGUGUUAGCGGCCUGUGGGCACCAUAACCACUGUGACUGGUUGUAAUAGCUAUAGUACUUAUAGUACCCAUUUAAUAAAUUUUCAUUGACAACUCUCUGUAUUCUAUUGUUUAUAAUAUUUUUUUCCCAUCCAUUUAAACACAGAUUUGUAUUUUAAAGGAUCAUUAGAGUGUCAGGAAAACAAACUCAUUUUCCUGACACUAUAUAACCCUUAGGUGUGUGUGUCCCCCUCACCCUUAGGGUCCCCCUCCUGCUGUCAAGAAGAUAGCCACUAGAGGCUGGAUUAACCCUGCAAUGUAAACAUAGCAGUUUCUCUGAAACUGCUAUGUUUACAGCUGUAGCGUUAAAACCUGGGGGACCUGGCACCCAGACCACUUCUUUGAGCUGAAGUGGUCUGGGUGACUAUAAUGUCACUUUAAUUAACAUCUUUGCAUUGUUUUUUACCUAACUUUCCAGACUGUUUGUUCCCAUCUGUACAUGUCUCUUCUCUGAGAUAAGUUUAAAAUAUUUUGCAUUAUUUGUCUUUGUUCAGCAAUUAUUUGCUUUGGUUGAAACUUGCAAUAUUUUUCUAGACUACUGAUAUUGAUUAUUGGGUCAAGAAGUGCUGCAUUUCAAAAUAUAAUAUAAUGUCAGCACUUUUCCUGCAUGGUGGCCAUAAAGCUACUGCAGAACUACAACUCCCGUAUGCGGAUCUAGUUUUUUAUUACAAAAAUUUGAAGCCCAUAUUUUUGGACAUCCUUGUUCUCUGGUAUUCUUUUGAUUGUCUGUCUGUCUAAAUAGAGUUCUUUUGUUUGUGUCCUUAUAUAGGUUUUUAAAACGUAUAAAAUGUGCAUACUUUAUAUUUCUGUCUUCUAUUUUCUGUUAUGUUUGGUGUGGUUGGUCAAACCAACAGUAUUGUACUUCCACCAUCUGUGUGCCUACCACAUCUCUUCAUGUAUGAUGUUAACUACUACCAGUAAAUUCAUAAUUCCAAAUAGUUAUAUAAUUUUUCAAAUUGUAGGACCACACUUAACCUUAUACUGUACCAGUUCAUUCAGAAAUGUAGACUAUAUUGGCAAUUUAGCUGAACCUAAAAUGGAAACAUAUAUACAGAUAGUUACUUUGUAUUAAUUUUUAAGUCAUUUACCAACAGAGUGUCAAUUGUAAGCAGAUACAAAUCUAAAUUUUAUAACAAGACAGGAGGCUCGUAUUAUGCAUUAACUUUCUUUACUUAACUCUAGCAGCAAAGACAUUUUUUCAAUAAAGUUUAGUGAAUAAAAAAGAUAAAAAUAACAGAGUAACUGAAAUGGAACAUUGGUAGCCAAUCAGCAUCCAGCAUAGUAUAUAUAGUGAAUGAUCCCCAAUAUUCUCCCUCUUUCUUUGCUGCUCCAGUAGAGAUAAGUAUAUUAUAUAUUCACUUAUGCUACUGUUUUCUAUACAUAGAUGCAUACCUCACGGUACCUAUUCACCACUCAUGUCAGAAAUAUUUACAGUUCCUAUGGCAAGGGAAGAAAUGGCAAUUCAAAUCAUUGCUAUUUGGUUUAUCCUCUGCACCUUGGUGUUUCACCAAAUUACUCAAACCAGUAAUAUCCCUACUUCGAAGCAGGGGACUAAGAAAGAUAAUCUAUCUAGACGACAUAUUGAUUAUGUCACAGAGUGUGCAAACUCUUUACCUACAUUCUCAAUGGACACUGAAUCUGUUAACAAGCCUUGGCUUUGUAAUAAAUUACGAAAAAUCGAUUUUAACUCCCUCUCAGGAGAUAGAAUUUUUAGGAUUUCUAGUGAAUUCCAAUUUAGCCACUCUCAGCCUUGCAUCACGGAAAUUGAAAACGAUUUGAAAAGAGAUCAGGUCAGUUCUGAAGAAGGAAUUAAUUUCCAUCAGGUCUUUCACGGAUUGUAGGUCUUUUAUCAGCCUCAAUCCAGGCUAUCUUUCCAGCCCCCCUUCACUAUCGGGCUCUUCAAAGAUUGAAAAGAGAACAUCUACGCAACGGUCUCCUCUAUUCAGAAGAGAUUUCUCUAACUUCAGAGACAAGAACAGAACUAUCCUGGUGGUUAGAUCAUGUUCAAAUUUGGAACGGGAAAGCCAUUUUCACGUCAUUCCCAGACCUAACUAUAGAAUCCGACGCAAGUCGAUUAGGCUGGGGAGCCCGUUGUGGAGGCAAUUCCACAGGAGGCAAAUGGUCUCUAGAAGAGACGAAUAUGCAUAUAAACUGCCUGGAACUCAUGGCAGGGUUUUUCGCUCUACGCAGUUUUGCAAAACACAAAUCCUAUUGUUGUAUCCUUCUCAAGAUGGACAACAUAUCAGCAGUCCAAUAUAUAAAUCGCUUAGGAGGUGCAAAAUCCAAGCAACUGGCGGACAUUGUCAAAGAAUUAUGGCAUUUUUGCCUCCAUCGAAACAUAACGUUACGAGCAGAAUACCUUCCCGGCCUUUCCAAUACAGUAACAGAUUGGAAUUCCCGUUUCCUAGUGGAUUACAGCGACUGGAUGUUGGAUAGAAACAUAGAAUGUGACGGCAGAUAAGAACCAUUCGGCCCAUCUAGUCUGCCCAAUUUUCUAAAUACUUUCAUUAGUCCCUAGCCUUAUCUUAUAGUUAGGAUAGCCUUAUGCCUAUCCCACGCAUGCUUAAACUCCUUUACUGUGUUAACCUCUACCACUUCAGCUGGAAGGCUAUUCCAUGCAUCCACUACCCUCUCAGUAAAGUAAUACAUCCUGAUAUUAUUUUUAAACCUUUGUCCCUCUAAUUUAAGACUAUGUCCUCUUGUUGUGGUAGUUUUUCUUCUUUUAAAUAUAGUCUCCUCCUUUACUGUGUUGAUUCCCUUUAUAUAUUUAAAUGUUUCUAU